AAAAACUGGUUUCUGCUCCUUUUGGCAGUCAUUGUGUAUGCCAUUACUUCCUAUACACGUUAUUGGGUCUGCAUCGCUGGUUGCAUACAGGACUAGAAAUUAUGAUGCGCCUGUUAAAACAACUUUAUUGUCUGAAGGGACAAUUGAAUUACUACCUGCAAAAUGCUACAGUAAUAAUGUGUAUAAGAACAAUGCUAGGCUCCAUCAUUCCUUGAGUUUGAAGAUCAACAUGCUAGGAAAAUCAUUGAGGAGCUUUCUUGGUAACAUAAUGAGACAAAAUUGGGUUUCAGGCUCUCUUAGAGCUAAUGCUAAAGCAUCAACUAUCAUU
RNAcentral lists this unclassified non-coding RNA (328 nucleotides) under Hevea brasiliensis (rubber tree). Lineage: Eukaryota; Viridiplantae; Streptophyta; Magnoliopsida; Malpighiales; Euphorbiaceae. The record is from RNAcentral.